Molecule: ribosomal RNA, 301 nt
Filed under: uncultured bacterium
Lineage: Bacteria
Description: partial 16S ribosomal RNA
Rfam family: Bacterial small subunit ribosomal RNA
Source: RNAcentral
CAGUAGCCACGGGAAUACGUAGGUGGCAAGCGUUAUCCGGAAUUAUUGGGCGUAAAGCGCGCGUAGGCGGUUUUUUAAGUCUGAUGUGAAAGCCCACGGCUCAACCGUGGAGGGUCAUUGGAAACUGGAAAACUUGAGUGCAGAAGAGGAAAGUGGAAUUCCAUGUGUAGCGGUGAAAUGCGCAGAGAUAUGGAGGAACACCAGUGGCGAAGGCGACUUUCUGGUCUGUAACUGACGCUGAUGUGCGAAAGCGUGGGGAUCAAACAGGAUUAGAUACCCCAGUAGUCCCUGUCUCUUAUAC